This is a long non-coding RNA of Stegodyphus dumicola, 585 nucleotides long. RefSeq lists it as uncharacterized. NCBI's taxonomy places the organism in Eukaryota, Metazoa, Arthropoda, Arachnida, Araneae, Eresidae. The record is from RefSeq and is a predicted model, not a curated record.
CAAAGAAAUGACUAUUGCGUAAUAAGCACAGCUGAUGGAUUACUGGUUUUUGGAGGGUGUUGGCUUCUGCGAAAUUUGGCCCUGCACAGCACAUUCGAGAAUUCACAUCUGUAGUUCAGAAUUUAUUGUAAUAUCAAAUUGAGCAUUUCCUUUGCGGUGACUAACGAAGAGAAAAUAAAACAGACAUCACUGGCGCACCUGUUUGAGUGGCAUAGGUACAGUGGCAACCCUUCACGCUAUGCUCGUGGUAUCGGCAUCACGUCCGUAUCAAUUCUCCUGUUAUCGGUCUGGCCUUGGUCACCGAAGAAAACAUAAAGAAAGUGCCACAGCAGGGAGGAAACAGCUCCACUCAGCCUCGUGUUAUCAGCAUCUGCGUUUCUAGCUGCUGCAGGAUAACCAUCUUGUGCAUUUUAAUGAGGAAGAAGUUUUUAGAAAUGGUGUAAUUAAAGAAAUUCUGAUGUAAUCGUCAAGCAUCUGUCUUCGGCUAUUAAUGUUUUAAUGUCAUCCUUAUUAAAUUUCUAUGAAGCUUCAAAAUAAGAGAAAACUAAUUAUUAUGAUUUUCAUUACAAGCACUAAUAGUGUCGA